AUGGCUGGGAGGGCCGUUAAGGUUAAUAGUGGGAACUUGGCUAGGGUCUGGCAUGAGCCAUGGAUAGAUGAUGUGCCAUUAUGUGAAAAAUUCCCCGUCUUAUUCAGUAUAUGUCAGGAUCAGGAUGAGACUAUUGCAGAUUUUGUGGCGAAAAACUAUAGCCUGGGUUUCAGGUGUAGGCUGUUUGGGGAGAUCAAUGAUCAAUGGGAAUGGGUAGUUUCUAAGGCAAAGAAAUAUACUUUGAACAAUAUCCCUGAUACAGUGUUUUGGAAGUUGUGCAAGAACAAGAGACUUACCACUAAAUCGGUGUAUAAGUGGUUGGAGAGGGAUUUAGCUGGCCCUAACUAUAAGUGGAUCUGGAAAGCUAGUAUCCCACUGAAAAUCAAAAUAUUCUUAUGGCAGCUAUUCCAAAAUGCUGUGCUUACCCGGGAUAAUUUGAGGAAGAGGAAAUGGCCCGGGAAUCUUGUUUGCUCUUUCUGCACGAACAUGGAAACUGCGAACCAUCUAUUUUUUACAUGUCCUCUUGCUCAAACAGUUUGGGGGGCCCUGGGACUUACGGCUGGAGUAUCCUGUUGCCCACGUUCCCUUUGGCAAAGCUGGGCGUGGUUGUAUAAGUUUUUCCCUGGUGGAAAACAAUUUUUCAUGAUGAUCAUUGCGGCUUUGUGUUGGGGGAUAUGGUGUCUUCGAAACAAAGUUACUUUUGACAAUUAUAAUGCUCGUUCUCCGCUGGAGGCUGUUUUCAGUGCAUGUUCUUUUAUGUUGUACUGGAUAGGACUACUGAAGGAAGAAGAUAGGUCGAAGUUUCAGGCGGGCGUGAAGAGAUUGGCGUAUGUGCCAGCAGCUCUGGCGGACAGGACUCACUCGCGAGGUGUGAUGCGACUGAAGGAUGGAGAGGGGAUCCAGAUCGGCUAA
This 912-nucleotide ribosomal RNA is filed under the name Triticum aestivum (bread wheat). Its description in RNAcentral is "partial small subunit ribosomal RNA". Lineage: Eukaryota; Viridiplantae; Streptophyta; Magnoliopsida; Poales; Poaceae. The record is from RNAcentral.